GACGAACGCUGGCGGCGUGCUUAACACAUGCAAGUCGAACGGAAAGGCCUCUUUCGGGGGGUACUCGAGUGGCGAACGGGUGAGUAACACGUGAGUAACCUGCCCUUGACUUUGGGAUAACUUCAGGAAACGGGGGCUAAUACCGGAUAGGAGCUCCUGCUGCAGGGGGGGGGCUGGAAAGUUUCGGCGGUUGGGGAUGGACUCGCGGCAUAUCGGCUUGUUGGUGGUGUAGUGGCUUACCAAGGCCUUGCCGGGUAGCCGGCCUGAGAGGGUGACCGGCCACCUUGGGACUGAGAUACGGCCCAGACUCCUACGGGAGGCAGCAGUGGGGAAUAUUGAACCAUGGGUGGAAGCCUGAUGCAGCAACGCCGUGUGCGGGAUGACGGCCUUCGGGUUGUAAACCGCUUUCGCUCAUGACGAAGCUUUGUGUGACGGUAGUGGGUAAAGAAGCACCGGCUAACUACGUG
This 467-nucleotide ribosomal RNA is filed under the name uncultured bacterium. RNAcentral's name for it is "partial 16S ribosomal RNA". It matches the Rfam family "Bacterial small subunit ribosomal RNA", at positions 28 to 507 of the family's 1533-position model. The record is from RNAcentral.